AGCAGUCGCCGCGGUAAUACGAAGGGGGCUAGCGUUGCUCGGAAUGACUGGGCGUAAAGGGCGCGUAGGCGGAUUGCUUUGUCGGGUGUGAAAUUCCAGGGCUUAACCUUGGGACUGCAUUCGAGACGGGUGAUCUAGAGUUUGGAAGAGGGUCGUGGAAUUCCCAGUGUAGAGGUGAAAUUCGUAGAUAUUGGGAAGAACACCGGUGGCGAAGGCGGCGACCUGGUCCUUGACUGACGCUGAGGCGCGAAAGCGUGGGGAGCAAACAGGAUUAGAUACCCCGGUAGUCCCUGUCUCUUAUAC
RNAcentral lists this ribosomal RNA (303 nucleotides) under uncultured bacterium. RNAcentral's name for it is "partial 16S ribosomal RNA". It matches the Rfam family "Bacterial small subunit ribosomal RNA", at positions 507 to 807 of the family's 1533-position model. The record is from RNAcentral.